GCCGGCAUCCCUGCCACCCACAGCUGAGUAGGUUUGAGCCUGGUAGGUACAUGGAUGGGAGGCCAACUAGGAGAGCUGGGUUGCUGCAGGAA
This 92-nucleotide ribosomal RNA is filed under the name Paramormyrops kingsleyae. The record is from RNAcentral. Lineage: Eukaryota; Metazoa; Chordata; Actinopteri; Osteoglossiformes; Mormyridae.